MicroRNA precursor from Caenorhabditis elegans, 103 nucleotides. The record is from Ensembl. Lineage: Eukaryota; Metazoa; Nematoda; Chromadorea; Rhabditida; Rhabditidae.
CGUACAACAAAAUUAUUGCGAGAGAAUUUUUUAACAUGGCGUUUGCUUUACCAGGUCGAUAGACUAUCGUGAUGUCGAACUCUUGUAGGACAAUCUGGUAUUU